ACCCUCCAGAUUCUUGUCCCUCUGAUCUAAAUAUUGGUCUGAGUGGCGAUAAAAGGAGGAAAAGUAAAAUUGAAGUGGACUUGGAGUCUUGAAUGACUUAAAAGUUCAUUUCAAACAUAA
This is a small nucleolar RNA of Echinops telfairi (small Madagascar hedgehog), 120 nucleotides long. The record is from Ensembl. Lineage: Eukaryota; Metazoa; Chordata; Mammalia; Afrosoricida; Tenrecidae.